RNAcentral lists this ribosomal RNA (431 nucleotides) under uncultured Alphaproteobacteria bacterium. RNAcentral's name for it is "bacterial SSU rRNA". It matches the Rfam family "Bacterial small subunit ribosomal RNA", at positions 29 to 505 of the family's 1533-position model. The record is from RNAcentral. Lineage: Bacteria; Pseudomonadati; Pseudomonadota; Alphaproteobacteria.
AACGAACGCUGGCGGCAGGCCUAACACAUGCAAGUCGAACGGUCUCUUCGGAGAUAGUGGCGGACGGGUGAGUAACGCGUGGGAACGUGCCCUUAGGUGCGGAACAACAUCUGGAAACGGAUGCUAAUACCGCAUGAUGUCUACGGACCAAAGAUUUAUCGCCUAGGGAUCGGCCCGCGUUGGAUUAGGUAGUUGGUGGGGUAAUGGCCUACCAAGCCUGCGAUCCAUAGCUGGUCUGAGAGGAUGAUCAGCCACACUGGGACUGAGACACGGCCCAGACUCCUACGGGAGGCAGCAGUGGGGAAUCUUCGGCAAUGGGGGCAACCCUGACCGAGCCAUGCCGCGUGAUCGAUGACGGUCUUAGGAUUGUAAAGAUCUUUCGCCUGUGAUGAUAAUGACAGUAACAGGAGAAGAAGCCCCGGCUAACUUCG